GGCUAUGUAGCUCAGCAGGUAGAGCGUCCGCCUCAUAAGCGGAAGGUCUCAGGUUCAAGUCCUGACGUUGCCA
This 73-nucleotide transfer RNA is filed under the name Paenarthrobacter nitroguajacolicus. RNAcentral's name for it is "tRNA-Met". It matches the Rfam family "tRNA". Rfam says of the family: Transfer RNA (tRNA) molecules are approximately 80 nucleotides in length. Their secondary structure includes four short double-helical elements and three loops (D, anti-codon, and T loops). Further hydrogen bonds mediate the characteristic L-shaped molecular structure. tRNAs have two regions of fundamental functional importance: the anti-codon, which is responsible for specific mRNA codon recognition, and the 3' end, to which the tRNAs corresponding amino acid is attached (by aminoacyl-tRNA synthetases). tRNAs cope with the degeneracy of the genetic code in two manners: having more than one tRNA (with a specific anti-codon) for a particular amino acid; and 'wobble' base-pairing, i.e. permitting non-standard base-pairing at the 3rd anti-codon position. The record is from RNAcentral. Lineage: Bacteria; Bacillati; Actinomycetota; Actinomycetes; Micrococcales; Micrococcaceae.